CGGGGCGUAGCGCAGCUUGGUAGCGCGCUUGCUUCGGGAGCAAGAGGUCCUCAGUUCAAAUCUGGGCGCCCCGA
This 74-nucleotide transfer RNA is filed under the name Bradymonas sediminis. It matches the Rfam family "tRNA". Rfam says of the family: Transfer RNA (tRNA) molecules are approximately 80 nucleotides in length. Lineage: Bacteria; Deltaproteobacteria; Bradymonadales; Bradymonadaceae. The record is from Rfam by way of RNAcentral.